AGACGUCUACAUUAGAUACCCCUGUAGUCCCAGCCGUAAACUAUGCGCGUUAGGUGUAUCGGUGGCCACGAGUCACCGAGGUGCCGAAGGGAAACCGUGAAACGUGCCGCCUGGGAAGUACGGUCGCAAGGCUGAAACUUAAAGGAAUUGGCGGGGAGCACCACAACGGGUGGAGCCUGCGGUUUAAUUGGACUCAACGCCGGGAAGCUCACCGGAUAAGACAGCGGAAUGAUUGCCGGGCUGAAGACUCUGCAUGACUAGCUG
Molecule: ribosomal RNA, 264 nt
Filed under: uncultured archaeon
Lineage: Archaea
Description: partial 16S ribosomal RNA
Rfam family: Archaeal small subunit ribosomal RNA
Source: RNAcentral